AUUGAACGCUGGCGGCAGGCCUAACACAUGCAAGUCGAACGGUAACAGGAAGCAGCUUGCUGCUUUGCUGACGAGUGGCGGACGGGUGAGUAAUGUCUGGGAAACUGCCCGAUGGAGGGGGAUAACUACUGGAAACGGUAGCUAAUACCGCAUAAUGUCGCAAGACCAAAGAGGGGGACCUUCGGGCCUCUUGCCAUCGGAUGUGCCCAGAUGGGAUUAGCUUGUUGGUGAGGUAACGGCUCACCAAGGCGACGAUCCCUAGCUGGUCUGAGAGGAUGACCAGCCACACUGGAACUGAGACACGGUCCAGACUCCUACGGGAGGCAGCAGUGGGGAAUAUUGCACAAUGGGCGCAAGCCUGAUGCAGCCAUGCCGCGUGUAUGAAGAAGGCCUUCGGGUUGUAAAGUACUUUCAGCGGGGAGGAAGGGGGUAAGGUUAAUAACCUUAGCCAUUGACGUUACCCGCAGAAGAAGCACCGGCUAACUCCGUGCCAGCAGCCGCGGUAAUACGGAGGGUGCAAGCGUUAAUCGGAAUUACUGGGCGUAAAGCGCACGCAGGCGGUCUGUCAAGUCGGAUGUGAAAUCCCCGGGCUCAACCUGGGAACUGCAUUCGAAACUGGCAGGCUUGAGUCUCGUAGAGGGGGGUAGAAUUCCAGGUGUAGCGGUGAAAUGCGUAGAGAUCUGGAGGAAUACCGGUGGCGAAGGCGGCCCCCUGGACGAAGACUGACGCUCAGGUGCGAAAGCGUGGGGAGCAAACAGGAUUAGAUACCCUGGUAGUCCACGCCGUAAACGAUGUCUAUUUGGAGGUUGUGCCCUUGAGGCGUGGCUUCCGGAGCUAACGCGUUAAAUAGACCGCCUGGGGAGUACGGCCGCAAGGUUAAAACUCAAAUGAAUUGACGGGGGCCCGCACAAGCGGUGGAGCAUGUGGUUUAAUUCGAUGCAACGCGAAGAACCUUACCUGGUCUUGACAUCCACAGAAUUUCUCAGAGAUGAGGAAGUGCCUUCGGGAACUGUGAGACAGGUGCUGCAUGGCUGUCGUCAGCUCGUGUUGUGAAAUGUUGGGUUAAGUCCCGCAACGAGCGCAACCCUUAUCCUUUGUUGCCAGCGAUUCGGUCGGGAACUCAAAGGAGACUGCCAGUGAUAAACUGGAGGAAGGUGGGGAUGACGUCAAGUCAUCAUGGCCCUUACGACCAGGGCUACACACGUGCUACAAUGGCAUAUACAAAGAGAAGCGACCUCGCGAGAGCAAGCGGACCUCAUAAAGUAUGUCGUAGUCCGGAUUGGAGUCUGCAACUCGACUCCAUGAAGUCGGAAUCGCUAGUAAUCGUGGAUCAGAAUGCCACGGUGAAUACGUUCCCGGGCCUUGUACACACCGCCCGUCACACCAUGGGAGUGGGUUGCAAAAGAAGUAAGUAGCUUAACCUUCGGGAGGGCGCUUACCACUUUGUGAUUCAUGACUGGGGUGA
Molecule: ribosomal RNA, 1465 nt
Filed under: uncultured Citrobacter sp.
Lineage: Bacteria; Pseudomonadati; Pseudomonadota; Gammaproteobacteria; Enterobacterales; Enterobacteriaceae
Description: bacterial SSU rRNA
Rfam family: Bacterial small subunit ribosomal RNA
Source: RNAcentral